AUGAUGCCGGUCGCGCAAGCGACAGAAGUGACUGGCACCAGGAGACAAGAAAAGACCGUUCGGCAGUGAAGCACGCUGCCCGUACCACAAACCGACACAGGUAGAUGGGUUGAGAAUACCAAGGCGAGCGGGAGAACCUUCGUUAAGGAACUAGGCAAAAUGGCCCCGUAACUUCGGGAGAAGGGGCGCCAGCGCAAGCUGGCCGCAGCAAAAAGACUCUAUCGACUGUUUACCAAAAACACAGGUCUCUGCAAACGCGAAAGCGGACGUAUAGGGGCUGACACCUGCCCAGUGCCGGAAGGUUUAGAGGAGCGGUUAGGGGCAACCCGAAGCUGCGAAUUGAAGCCCCGGUGAACGGCGGCCGUAACUAUAACGGUCCUAAGGUAGCGAAAUUCCUUGUCGGGUAAGUUCCGACCCGCACGAAAGGUGUAACGAGUGGAGUACUGUCUCAACGAGGGACCCGGCGAAAUUGAAGUACGUGUAAAGAUGCGCGUUACCCGCAGCAGGACAAAAAGACCCUGUGGAGCUUUACUGUAGCCUGUCAUUGCGUUAGGGCAUGGCUUGUGUAGCAUAGCUGGGAGGCUGGGAAGCCUGGUCGCUAGACUGGGUGGAGCCGACAGUGAAAUACCAGCCUGGCAAUGUUUUGACCCUAACCGCGGACGUUGAAGCACGUUCCGGGACAGUGGCAGGUGGGCAGUUUGACUGGGGCGGUCGCCUCCGAAAAGGUAACGGAGGCGCUCAAAGGUUGGCUCAGGCGGAAUGGAAACCCGCCGCAGAGUGUAAAGGCAUAAGCCAGCUUGACUGCAAGGCCAACGCGCCGAGCAGAGACGAAAGUCGGACUUAGUGAUCCCACGGCGCUGAGUGGAAGGGCCGUGGCUUACCGGAUAAAAGCUACCCCGGGGAUAACAGGCUAGUCUUGUCCAAGAGUUCACAUCGACGACAAGGCUCGGCACCUCGAUGUCGGCUCAUCGCAUCCUGGGGCUGGAUAAGGUCCCAAGGGUUGGGCUGUCCGCCCAUUAAAGCGGUACGUGAGCUGGGUUCAGACCGUCGUGAGACAGGUCGGUCUCUAUCCGCUGUGGGCGUUGGGAAUUUGAGAGGCACUGCCCCUAGUACGAGAGGACCGGGGUGGACGAAGCGCCUGUGAGUCGGUUGUCACGCCAGUGGCAUGGCCGAGUAGCAGACUUCGGAGCUGAUAACCGCUGAAAGCAUCUAAGUGGGAAACAGACCUCAAGAUGAGAUUCCCCA
This 1245-nucleotide ribosomal RNA is filed under the name metagenome. Its description in RNAcentral is "bacterial LSU rRNA". It matches the Rfam family "Bacterial large subunit ribosomal RNA", at positions 1564 to 2816 of the family's 2925-position model. The record is from RNAcentral.